Molecule: transfer RNA, 75 nt
Filed under: Actinomycetota bacterium
Lineage: Bacteria; Bacillati; Actinomycetota
Description: Actinobacteria bacterium tRNA-Val
Rfam family: tRNA
About the family: Transfer RNA (tRNA) molecules are approximately 80 nucleotides in length.
Source: RNAcentral
ACCGCUGUAGCUCAUUUGGAUAGAGCAUCCCACCAACUAUGGGAAUGGUAGCGGGUUCGAGCCCCGCCAGCGGUA